UGAUUGAACCAUAGGCGAAAGCCAGUGGUU
This 30-nucleotide ribosomal RNA is filed under the name Filobasidium magnum. RNAcentral describes it as "partial 18S ribosomal RNA". The record is from RNAcentral. Lineage: Eukaryota; Fungi; Basidiomycota; Tremellomycetes; Filobasidiales; Filobasidiaceae.